CAGACUCACUCUGCCUUUUUACCCUUUUCUUCAAAUCCCUCCUUAACUUUUGCCUGGAAACACGGCAAUUUUUCACACAUGACAUGGCUUCAAUCUCUCAACAAACGCUCCCAACUCACUCAAUUUCCGCUCCAUCCACACAAUUUACACAUCAAAACAUAGCGAUUUUCCUCACUGUCAUUAGUUCGUUUUCGUUAGUAGAUAGUUUUCCAGUUACACAAGGUUUUGUAACAGCAAGAAACGGCGGUUUUAACUUCUCAUUGUACACUAGAACUUUAAGCUUUGUUCAUAGAGCUGGCGGUAGCCCACGUUUAGAGUAGAGAAGGCCUUAGCGGUCCUGGUUCAAAACCUCCCACCAGCAGUAUGUUUUGAGCACACACCUCAGCUUUUUUGCCUCUUUUCAGCAGACCAUUUGCAGCUACACCAGUCACUACUUUACAUCCUUUCUUUUUUGGUGGAUAUACCAGUGCUUACAGAGUCCACAUUAUUAUUAACAGCUACAUCCACCCCGGGAAAUGUGUGGUGAGGGAGAACAUCAGGACCAAGCUGGGUUUCCUUGGUCCAGAGGUUUGAAGAAAGUUCUUCCCUUUCUUUCAUCACAGCUGUCCUGUGCCAGAUGUUCUGUUGACCCACUGAGAGAGGCAUAAUUGGAGAAACAUCAGGAAGACUGAAGCUGAUCGCAGGAAUCAAGGAGGACCUCGAGAUCUUCACCACCAGCUCCCUCACAAGGAAAUCUUCCGAAGUCCACUGUAGGCACGGCCCAGAAGAUGGAUAAACCCAGCAUUUCAUGAACACACUGGAACUAAUCUAUCUUCAUAACAGAGUGUUUUUCUAAACAUGGAGAAAAAAGAUGGAAGAAACCGAUCUGAAUUUCCCAUCUCCUGCCUCCGAUGAUCACUGUGACCUCAGAGGGCAACUGGUGUGCAAAGCUGGAACUGGAGUGAGGGAGAGAGGAGUCAUCAUCCAGCUUGAAAGAAAACAUCCGGCUGAUCAGCAGGAGGAGAAAAGUCUGAGGGAGCAGCAGAGGAACAUUUUCAGCCGUUUGCACUCAGCUCAGCUACUACAGAGAAAAUGAUGAGCUCAACACAGAAGGACCAACAUGGACCGAAAAGUCAGCGCUCUCAGGAGGCCGACAAACCUCACAGAAGAAAGAGAGAGAAAAACUACAGCUGUGACUUGUGUGGAAAGUCUUUUCCCUGGGAUAGUUGCCUAAGAAAACACCAACUCUUCCACAGUGGAGUUAAAGCGUACAGCUGUGAUCAGUGUGACAGAGCUUUUGAUCGCAGUUGCAGCUUACAGAGGCAUCUGGUUACCCACUCUGGAACUAAGACAUAUAGCUGUGACAUUUGUGGAAAAACUUUCAGUCGGCGAGACAGCCGAAACAGACACCUACGCAUUCACACCAGACAUGUUGUGUACUGGUGUGAUCAGCGUGGCCAACGGUUUAUAACAGAUGCACAGUUACAAAGCCACAUGUUUACCCACACUGAGGAGAAACCUUAUAAAUGUGACCUGUGUGAGAAGACUUUUGAACUGAAAAAGUAAUUGGAGUAAAAAAAGCAGAGCGACGCAGAUGGAUCCAGUUCUCAACCCUGUCAUCGCUGUGGUGGUGGGAAAGACUUUUGUUGUGACCUUUGUGGAAAAUGUUUCGGUCAUGCAAAGAGCCUAAAAAUACAUCAACGUAGACACACUGGAGAGAAACUGAAAUACUGCAAAGAAUGUGGGAGAAGCUUCACCAGAUCACAUGAGUUAAAACACCAUGAAGUCAUUCACAGUGGGGUUAAAAAGCACCUCUGUGAUCAGUGUGGGUCAUCGUUCACCACUGCAGGUGAGCUUAAAACACACAAACGAGUCCACACAGGAGAGAAACCAUACAAGUGACAAAAGCUUCUCACAGUCAAGUAGUCGUAACCAUCAUGAACAUACCCACGUGGAAGGAAACUACAGCUGUGACCGGUGUGACAAGACUUUCAGGAAUCUCAGUUCAUACUCUGAACACAAACGAUCCCACGCUGCAGAUAAACUGUUUCACUGCUACAAAUGUGCAAAAACCUUCACUUCACUAUCUGCUCUGUGCAAACAUCCGCGUGAUCACGCGGGGCGGAAAUCAUUCCCAUCUCCGGAUCACGGUGAAUCUGGUGUCAGGGUCAGAAUUAAAACUGUUGAGAUCAGGCUCCACAGAGUUCAGCUGGAAUCUCAUGUAAAGAACUGAUGAGGCUGCUGUAAAUAUAAAUGUUCCUGCAGUUACAUCUUAAGCUUUCUAAACUCUUCUACUUUAGUGUUCUUAUCGAGUGGUUAGCUUUGUUUUGUUGGAAGAAGAAAUCUGUUGUUAUGUAAUCAAGUUGUUAUUGAAUGUAUUUUGAUCCAUGUGUUCUGUAGGUGUUCUUUGUUCAGGCUGUCUGUGUUAUGAAACGUUGCAACGGUUAAAUAAAAAAUCCAAAUGUUCAAUAAAGAAAUGGUUUAAUGACA
Molecule: long non-coding RNA, 2469 nt
Organism: Oreochromis niloticus (Nile tilapia)
Lineage: Eukaryota; Metazoa; Chordata; Actinopteri; Cichliformes; Cichlidae
Product: zinc finger protein 506
Exons: 6
Source: RefSeq, a predicted model, not a curated record